This 509-nucleotide ribosomal RNA is filed under the name uncultured bacterium. RNAcentral describes it as "partial 16S ribosomal RNA". It matches the Rfam family "Bacterial small subunit ribosomal RNA", at positions 28 to 523 of the family's 1533-position model. The record is from RNAcentral.
GACGAACGCUGGCGGCGUGCCUAACACAUGCAAGUUGAGCGACGAACCAGGGCUUGCCCUGGGGCAAAGCAGCGAACGGGUGAGUAACACGUGGGUAACCUACCCCGAUAACCGGGACAACCCGAGGAAACUCGGGCUAAUACCGGAUGUGCUCACUGGACUUCGGUUCAGUGCGUAAAGGAAGCUUCGGCCUCCGUAUCGGGAGGGGCUCGCGGCCCGUUAGUUUGUUGGUGAGGUAACGGCUCACCAAGACCGCGAUGGGUAGCUGGUCUGAGAGGCGGAUCAGCCACACGGGGACUGAGACACGGCCCAGACUCCUACGGGAGGCAGCAGUGGGGAAUCUUGCGCAAUGCGCGAGAGCGUGACGCAGCAACGCCGCGUGGGGGAAGAAGGCCUUCGGGUUGUAAACCCCUUUCAGGAGGGACGAAGGUUCGGCAGUUAACAGCUGUCCGGACUGACGGUACCUCCACAAGAAGCCCCGGCUAACUACGUGCCAGCCGCCGCAGUAA